CUUCAACGCUAACAGUAUAACUAUUCCUACGCACUUUCCAACCUGUUCAAAUGCCAAUUUAACUACAGAUCGCCAAUACCUCAAAAAGCAUCCUCCAUACACUAAAUGGAAAACGGUAACUUGCGACUGUUUAUGCAGCAAAAUGUUCGAUAGAAAAACAUAGCGCACUAUAACCUUUUAUCUACUAAAGUGAAUAUAGCAACGUACCAUGACCCGAAGUAUCACCACAAUAGGUUUAAGG
Molecule: non-coding RNA, 241 nt
Organism: Schizosaccharomyces pombe (fission yeast)
Lineage: Eukaryota; Fungi; Ascomycota; Schizosaccharomycetes; Schizosaccharomycetales; Schizosaccharomycetaceae
Source: the annotation of a GenBank genome assembly